RNAcentral lists this ribosomal RNA (1434 nucleotides) under Salmonella enterica subsp. enterica serovar Typhimurium. Its description in RNAcentral is "partial 23S ribosomal RNA". It matches the Rfam family "Bacterial large subunit ribosomal RNA", at positions 1518 to 2925 of the family's 2925-position model. The record is from RNAcentral. Lineage: Bacteria; Pseudomonadati; Pseudomonadota; Gammaproteobacteria; Enterobacterales; Enterobacteriaceae.
GUGUAGGUGUGUGUUCCAGGUAAAUCCGGUUCACUUUAACACUGAGGCGUGACGACGAGGCACUACGGUGCUGAAGCAACAAAUGCCCUGCUUCCAGGAAAAGCCUCUAAGCAUCAGGUAACAUCAAAUCGUACCCCAAACCGACACAGGUGGUCAGGUAGAGAAUACCAAGGCGCUUGAGAGAACUCGGGUGAAGGAACUAGGCAAAAUGGUGCCGUAACUUCGGGAGAAGGCACGCUGACACGUAGGUGAAGUGAUUUACUCAUGGAGCUGAAGUCAGUCGAAGAUACCAGCUGGCUGCAACUGUUUAUUAAAAACACAGCACUGUGCAAACACGAAAGUGGACGUAUACGGUGUGACGCCUGCCCGGUGCCGGAAGGUUAAUUGAUGGGGUCAGCGUAAGCGAAGCUCCUGAUCGAAGCCCCGGUAAACGGCGGCCGUAACUAUAACGGUCCUAAGGUAGCGAAAUUCCUUGUCGGGUAAGUUCCGACCUGCACGAAUGGCGUAAUGAUGGCCAGGCUGUCUCCACCCGAGACUCAGUGAAAUUGAACUCGCUGUGAAGAUGCAGUGUACCCGCGGCAAGACGGAAAGACCCCGUGAACCUUUACUAUAGCUUGACACUGAACAUUGAGCCUUGAUGUGUAGGAUAGGUGGGAGGCUUUGAAGUGUGGACGCCAGUCUGCAUGGAGCCGACCUUGAAAUACCACCCUUUAAUGUUUGAUGUUCUAACGUGGACCCGUAAUCCGGGUUGCGGACAGUGUCUGGUGGGUAGUUUGACUGGGGCGGUCUCCUCCUAAAGAGUAACGGAGGAGCACGAAGGUUGGCUAAUCCUGGUCGGACAUCAGGAGGUUAGUGCAAUGGCAUAAGCCAGCUUGACUGCGAGCGUGACGGCGCGAGCAGGUGCGAAAGCAGGUCAUAGUGAUCCGGUGGUUCUGAAUGGAAGGGCCAUCGCUCAACGGAUAAAAGGUACUCCGGGGAUAACAGGCUGAUACCGCCCAAGAGUUCAUAUCGACGGCGGUGUUUGGCACCUCGAUGUCGGCUCAUCACAUCCUGGGGCUGAAGUAGGUCCCAAGGGUAUGGCUGUUCGCCAUUUAAAGUGGUACGCGAGCUGGGUUUAGAACGUCGUGAGACAGUUCGGUCCCUAUCUGCCGUGGGCGCUGGAGAACUGAGGGGGGCUGCUCCUAGUACGAGAGGACCGGAGUGGACGCAUCACUGGUGUUCGGGUUGUCAUGCCAAUGGCACUGCCCGGUAGCUAAAUGCGGAAGAGAUAAGUGCUGAAAGCAUCUAAGCACGAAACUUGCCCCGAGAUGAGUUCUCCCUGAGACUUAGAGUCUCCUGAAGGAACGUUGAAGACGACGACGUUGAUAGGCCGGGUGUGUAAGCGCAGCGAUGCGUUGAGCUAACCGGUACUAAUGAACCGUGAGGCUUAACCUU